Molecule: microRNA precursor, 76 nt
Filed under: Myotis lucifugus (little brown bat)
Lineage: Eukaryota; Metazoa; Chordata; Mammalia; Chiroptera; Vespertilionidae
Description: mir-9229 microRNA precursor family
Rfam family: mir-9229 microRNA precursor family
Source: Rfam by way of RNAcentral
GAGACACCCUUCUGGGGCAAGACUUGCUUCAGUGGGGCUUUGGUGCUCACUGAGUCUGCCCCCUGAGUGUGUCCCG